CUCGACCUCAGAUCAGA
This 17-nucleotide ribosomal RNA is filed under the name Zoanthus pulchellus. RNAcentral describes it as "partial 28S ribosomal RNA". The record is from RNAcentral. Lineage: Eukaryota; Metazoa; Cnidaria; Anthozoa; Zoantharia; Zoanthidae.